CCUAGUACGGUAAAGUACCUUUAUUGAGUUGGGGAACGGUAAAAGACCCCGAGUACGGUAAAGUACUCAGAGUGUGUGGAGGACGGUAAAGGACUCCGGGUACAGUAUUUGGGAUACGGUAAAGGAUCCUAAAUACGGUACAGUACCCAGUGUGUGUGUGGAGGACGGUAAAGGACUCCGGGUACAGUAUUUUGGGAAACGGUAAAGGAUCCUUGAAUACGGUAUAGUACCCAUGUGUAGAGUUGGGAGACGGUAAAGGAUCCUGACAAUGAGAUAGUGCGACCGCUAAUGCUGAGUUGUCAUGGUGAGCUGUUCUUUUAUUAUGGUUGUAAGCGAAUCCAGACUGGAUACAUAAUUUAGUAGUAUUCGCUUAGAACCCUGGUGCAUGACAAA
This is a long non-coding RNA of Rhododendron vialii, 393 nucleotides long. RefSeq lists it as uncharacterized. The transcript is spliced from 2 exons. The record is from RefSeq and is a predicted model, not a curated record. Lineage: Eukaryota; Viridiplantae; Streptophyta; Magnoliopsida; Ericales; Ericaceae.